This 905-nucleotide long non-coding RNA is filed under the name Homo sapiens (human). Its description in RNAcentral is "HSALNT0291378". Lineage: Eukaryota; Metazoa; Chordata; Mammalia; Primates; Hominidae. The record is from RNAcentral.
UCUCAAGCGAUCCUCCUGCCUCAGUCUCCUGAGUAACUUUGAAAUGAGACCCUUGUCAUUCUUAGAGUCCUUUGUUGAAUGGAAGAAGAAAUGGAAUAAUGCCGUAUCCACCUGAUGGGGACAUCACCUCCUACCUGGAUGGUCAGAGGACUCCUAUCCAUCCCACUGUUCCUUCUGGUUUGGGGCCCAGAGUCUUCCACCAAAGCCUGAACAUGCUUCUACUCCCAGGGCCUCCACAUUCCACGGAUGGCUGAUGGAGAAGAAUCCCAGGUCAUCUGUGGACACCUCUCCUUCUGUAUCCCCAGAACAUGAUGUGCACAGGUGCAUAAAGGAAAUUUAAAUUUUAUGCCCAGGGGCUCCCACUCUCACCCUCCUGAGCAGAAGCUGGGGAUCCUCUGAGCUGCUGUCCCUGAUGUUAGAGAGCCCUUAUCCCUGAGACCAAUGCCAGUCAUCAAAUACAUCUCAUAGGAUGUCUGCACAAAAUCAGCUGCCCCAAGCCCCUUGCCUCCCUCCUCCUGGCUUCUCUGAUGCAUCCCCCACAGGAAUGAGCUCCAAAUUUCUCUCUUCUGCAUCCAAAAGUCCAGUGAGGAGUGUGGAUGCGUGUAAUGUGGCCCCUUCAUCACAUCCACCCCGUGCGUUCCUACCUUAUCCAGUGUCCCCAACCCCAAAAAACAGAAGGACCAUCCAAGGAGGACCAGCUUCAGGCCCAGAGACUCAGAUUCCUAGUCAGCAUCCUUCAGGUACCUCACUCAUCAAGCUCCUCUUUCCAUAAGGCUUCAAAGAUACGACUUGCCCACAAACACACUCCUACCCACUAACCUCUAAACUAACUCCAUCUUUAAUUCUUGUGGACACCCACCCAAUAUCAACUCCAUCCUCAAAGCUGUCAAUAAGAUCCAAUGAAG